This 236-nucleotide unclassified non-coding RNA is filed under the name Scirpus wichurae. The record is from RNAcentral. Lineage: Eukaryota; Viridiplantae; Streptophyta; Magnoliopsida; Poales; Cyperaceae.
GCCCAUCCACGCUCGGCUGCCUUGCCAUCACGAGUGCUCGGCCCGAUGCGGACAUUGGCCCUCCGAACCGCGAGGCGCGGUGGGCCUAAGUGUGCGGCCGUCGUAUGUGGCCGGGAGCGGCGAGUGGUGGGCUACUGCGCACGCUGCCCCGAGCCCCAUGCCGACAGAGGGCUCUGUUUGACCCCCUAACGAGGAGCACGCCGCCGCGGCCUCACGCCGUGCGGCAUCUUCGGACC